Molecule: ribosomal RNA, 443 nt
Filed under: uncultured Anaerolineaceae bacterium
Lineage: Bacteria; Bacillati; Chloroflexota; Anaerolineae; Anaerolineales; Anaerolineaceae
Description: bacterial SSU rRNA
Rfam family: Bacterial small subunit ribosomal RNA
Source: RNAcentral
CACAAGCAGCGGAGCGUGUGGUUUAAUUCGUUGCUACACGAAGAACCUUACCUGGGUUUGACAUAUAGGUUGUAGGGAACUGAAAGGGACCGACCCUUCGGGGAGCUUAUACAGGUGUUGCAUGGCUGUCGUCAGCUCGUGUCGUGAGAUGUUCGGUUAAGUCCGCUAACGAGCGCAACCCUCGCCGUAUGUUACAAGUGUCAUACGGGACUGCCGGUAAAAGCCGGAGGAAGGUGAGGAUGAUGUCAAGUCAGCAUGACCUUUAUAUCCAGGGCUACACACACGCUACAAUGGUCUGUACAAUUGGUUGCCAAGCCGCGAGGCGGAGCCAAUCCGUAAAGCAGGCCUCAGUUCAGAUUGCAGUCUGCAACUCGACUGCAUGAAGCCGGAGUUGCUAGUAACCGCAGGUCAGCAAUACUGCGGUGAAUACGUUCCCGGGUCUU